Long non-coding RNA from Helicoverpa armigera (cotton bollworm), 643 nucleotides. RefSeq lists it as uncharacterized. The transcript is spliced from 3 exons. The record is from RefSeq and is a predicted model, not a curated record. NCBI's taxonomy places the organism in Eukaryota, Metazoa, Arthropoda, Insecta, Lepidoptera, Noctuidae.
UGUUUUUAGAUUAAAACGGAUUAUAUUGAUUAAAAUUGGUUAAUCAGUUCAUUAUCUUAUCUUGUAGAAUAUUUGCACUAUUUAUAUUAUGUCUCAGGAUAAAAACGUUAUUAACGAUUUGAAGUGGGACUCAGGCACAUUUCUAAUCAUGAAGAACUUCAUUGUCAUCGCACUGUUGUCAACCUUGUCAGUCUGCCUAGGCGCAGUUGUACAGAAUGCCCAAUUUCCCAUAAACGUAGGAGUUUUGGAACCCGGAGAUUGGGUUAUGAUAAGCGGCGAAAGUCGGGCCAUCCAACAUCCUAAUUUAGUAAUAAACCAUAUAACUGUGCGAACUCGAUUACAUCCUGAUUACAAGGUUAAUAUGGCUAAGUUCAUCGAUCGAGCACCAGAAACAGGAGGCUUUAUUUCAUUCGUAGGAGGUAUUGGAACUAAUUAUGUAACCUUUAUAGUAUCGGCUCAGAGAGGUGGAGGAUUCCAUUUUAGUUAUCAGCUGUGGGGACAUGAUACAACAGGGGCUGAAAUAAGGCACUCUUUAGAGUCUAUAGAAUGUACUAUGACAGUGGACGACGGAAAAACUGUUAAAACUUAUAACUGUAAUGAAUUUGUUCAUUAAAUAUUGGAGUCAAAUAAAUUGUUCAUUAAA